RNAcentral lists this long non-coding RNA (2412 nucleotides) under Homo sapiens (human). RNAcentral's name for it is "HSALNT0385429". Lineage: Eukaryota; Metazoa; Chordata; Mammalia; Primates; Hominidae. The record is from RNAcentral.
UUCAUUUCAUUAUUUCAUUUCACCAUUUCAUCAUUUCAUUUCAUCAUUUCAUUUCAUUUCAGUGAUACAUAUAUUUAAGUGCUAAUGUGAUGCCCAGGAGACAUCCUACUUCCCUUUGUAAAAUACCUCCUUCAACAAAAGGCAACCUCUCAUGGCUGGCUAAGUCUACAGGGAUACCAGGCUCUCCUCAACCACCCAAUUUGAUUUAGAACCUCAAACAGCACCUCAGUUUCAUGAAAACCUAACACAUAAACACAACACUUGGUUGUAAGUGAGCCAACAGCUUCUUGUCUCUUUCUCUGCUCAAGGCUUAAGGCCGUGUCUCCCCAACUACGUUCAGUGGAAGAAAAGAUCCCCUGGACAAAUAAGUUUGAGGACUGUCAUUGCAGGACUUCUCAGAACCUUUAAAACACAAAUCCUCAUCCGCAGGGAUCUUCAGGAGGGAGACGGCUGAUGCAGCACAACUUUCUUUCACAGGAGCAUCUUGCAGAAUACACUGUCCUGAGAGCACGUCUCUACAUCUAUACCUGCAUUCUGGAAUCAGGGAGAAAGCCAAAACGGAUGACAAGACACUAGGUCAGCCGCCUCCAACCCUUUGACUACAAGGACUUUUCCACCUAUCUGUGGUGGCAACCCCUUGAGGUCAAGACCCCACAAUCAGAUGAGGAUGGAGUGGCUCACCCUCAGUCAACAGGCCAGACUCAAGGGGUUCCAGGCAAGUCAGUUCUCCCUCAGGCCUUCGGUUUCCUCACCCACAAGAUGAGAGGGCUGGACCAGAUGGAAAUUCAGGGGGUAAGGUGAUGUCCGCUCGCAGCCCACCUCGCCCAUGGGCCCCUCAAGCCUCCCUGCCAGUUCCCACGACGCACCCGCCCCACAGAUCCUGCCCAAGGCUAUUAAAAAGCACCCAGGUAUGCUGGCAAAUUGACAAAGCACUCUGUGCAUAACCACGAAAAACACAUUUUCUUAAAGACCCAAGAAGACCCUCAUUUUCAGCACUGGCUGACCUUCAGGCUCAGCUCAGCAGAAAGUGAAGACUGAAGCAAAGUUUUCAACAGUCUGCACAUGUGUUAAAGGAACGCCCCAGCCCAGAGCCAUCCACAAAAACUGGAAGAAUCCGUCAGUUUGUCUUUGUCUCAGUUUUGUCAUAUAGACCUUUGUGACACACAGAUCUAUAUACAAUGGAAACUACAAAUUUCUAAUGAAAGAGCCAUGAAAGAUCACAAAAGAUCUUAAUAAAUAGAAAGACAUUUAAUGUGCAUGAUCAUAAAAUCUCAAUAUUGUCAAGAUAUAAUUUCUCCCCAAUUUGAGUUAUAGGCAAGAGAGUCACAUCAUCUAGGUGAUUGGCCAAACAUAUGUCACAAUCCCUUCCAUUGACAGCUCCCAAAAAAGGAGUUACAUCACCUAGGUGCUCAGCUCUGAGAUGUGUCACAACAUUGCCCAAUACAGGCAGGCCACAGGCGGGAGAGUCACAUUUCCUGGGUGCUUGGCCCAGUGGUAUGUCACAUUUCCUUAUGUAGGAAGGGCACACGUAGCAAGAGAGAGUCACAUUACCUAGGUACUGUGCUAGAGCUAUCAGUCUCUGUGUCGUUCAAUGUGAGAGUUAUGAUCUCUUUAGACAUCCAUGUAACAGAGCCUCAACUCCUUCAUCCUCAGAUGUAAAGGCUAGUGAAGACCAAAUAAGCCUUGAAAGGCUGGAGCCCAUGCGAGGGUCUGCAGUCUUUGUUCCGGAUGGGGAACUACUGCUUCAGCUGGUUACCCAGGUGUCCCCGAUGGGGAAAGGAAGGAAAUGGUGAGAAUCUUCAGCACAACGGAUCACAUCACCCUGGCAGAGACCAGUCCGGCCUGCGCAUGGCACCAGCAGCCGCAGGCUAGAGGCAGUCAUGUCAGGCCUCCUCCAUACAGCAUCUCUCCUGCUUUUUUUUCAAACGGUCCUAAUCACUUAAUUUGGUCAUCUUCCCUGUCACAAUGGGGCACCUGGCGCUAUAGACACUUGGGAAACACACAGAUCUGGGGUCCUACAGUGUCCAGGUGAAGACGCCGGGAGUCAGAGAGGAAAGUCUUUUGAAGCCUCCAAAAGGAAUGCACAGGACCCCACUUGAAGAGGUGGAGUGCCCAGUGGCGGAUACAGGCCCCACACAUCGCAGCAGUAAACAGGUAAGGCGCUCCCUGGCCCAUGCCUGUUUCCUGGAAACUGAAGCCAUGCCCAGGCUGGGAGUCACCAUUCCAGAAACAGAAUAAGCUGUUGGGCUGGCUACCUCACCCAGCACCCGGCCACGCCAGAGAGAAUCUUGGAUGCUGCUUUCCCACAGGCUGUAGUGCCUUCCAAGUUAGGCCACCCUAAUAACAGUUCUCCCACAGGGACUCCACGGUGUCCAGCUCUCCAGCCUGGGGUUUCUCAUCACCCAGUGAUUC